UUGAACGCUGGCGGCAGGCCUCACCCAUGCAAGUCGAGCGGAUGAAGGGAGCUUGCUCCUGGAUUCAGCGGCGGACGGGUGGGUAAUGCCUAGGAAUCUGCCUGGUAGUGGGGGAUAACGUCCGGAAACGGGCGCUAAUACCGCAUACGUCCUGAGGGAGAAAGUGGGGGAUCUUCGGACCUCACGCUAUCAGAUGAGCCUAGGUCGGAUUAGCUAGUUGGUGGGGUAAAGGCCUACCAAGGCGACGAUCCGUAACUGGUCUGAGAGGAUGAUCAGUCACACUGGAACUGAGACACGGUCCAGACUCCUACGGGAGGCAGCAGUGGGGAAUAUUGGACAAUGGGCGAAAGCCUGAUCCAGCCAUGCCGCGUGUGUGAAGAAGGUCUUCGGAUUGUAAAGCACUUUAAGUUGGGAGGAAGGGCAGUAAGUUAAUACCUUGCUGUUUUGACGUUACCAACAGAAUAAGCACCGGCUAACUUCGUG
RNAcentral lists this ribosomal RNA (483 nucleotides) under uncultured bacterium. RNAcentral's name for it is "partial 16S ribosomal RNA". It matches the Rfam family "Bacterial small subunit ribosomal RNA", at positions 30 to 507 of the family's 1533-position model. The record is from RNAcentral.